RNAcentral lists this long non-coding RNA (210 nucleotides) under Malus domestica (apple). Its description in RNAcentral is "long non-coding RNA (MDOM_LNC008025)". The record is from RNAcentral. Lineage: Eukaryota; Viridiplantae; Streptophyta; Magnoliopsida; Rosales; Rosaceae.
UUCUGAUUGUUUCCUUCCCUUUGCUCUCUCUUCCAAACUCGACAAUUUUUCUUCAUAUGGCUUUCUUUGCCACAAUGGUGGCAUGCACCCCUGAACCUUGACUUGGAUCGGCUAGGACUCCUGCCAUGACCUCUAGGUCCUCUACUCUUGCUUCUUCCGCGGUUCUCUGUGACAAAUACUUGGCUGCUAUCUGUGCCAGAAGUCUUUCUC